UACGGAGGGGGUUAGCGUUGUUCGGAAUGACUGGGCGUAAAGCGCGCGUAGGCGGAUCGGGAAGUCGGGGGUGAAAUCCCGGGGCUCAACCCCGGAAUGGCCUUCGAAACUCCCGGUCUUGAGUUCGAGAGAGGUGAGUGGAAUUCCGAGUGUAGAGGUGAAAUUCGUAGAUAUUCGGAGGAACACCAGUGGCGAAGGCGGCUCACUGGCUCGACACUGACGCUGAAGUGCGAAAGCGUGGGGAGCAAACAGG
RNAcentral lists this ribosomal RNA (253 nucleotides) under uncultured bacterium. Its description in RNAcentral is "partial 16S ribosomal RNA". It matches the Rfam family "Bacterial small subunit ribosomal RNA", at positions 524 to 776 of the family's 1533-position model. The record is from RNAcentral.